RNAcentral lists this long non-coding RNA (3637 nucleotides) under Bemisia tabaci. RNAcentral's name for it is "lncRNA ENSSSA3NGG008668". Lineage: Eukaryota; Metazoa; Arthropoda; Insecta; Hemiptera; Aleyrodidae. The record is from RNAcentral.
UUUUAGGUCGUAUGUUGAAGACAGUUACGAGACAUCUCCAGGCAUGCUUGGUCGAACGCGGGGAUCUUCUCCAGCUUUAACUCCCCCAGUGGCUUCAAGAAUGGCUUAAACAGGGGUUUCAGUGGUAGUUUCGGGUUGGAUACAACGUUCCCUUCAAUGGUGGCUUCAGCAGUGGCUACGGGGGCGGUUUCGGUGGUGGCUACGGUGGUUUUGGCGGCCUCGGUGGUAGAAAUAACUUCAUGAUUUCGACCCGAGUGUUUGACGCUGUGCAGGAUUUGAUCGAGGACCAGUCCAUGUUUUACGUGACGUUUGAAUGCCAGCCCAAAGUCGGUAAAUACUUUUGUAAAAUGCAGUGUAAAGAGCGCGACGAAAAUUGACAGGAACCUGCGACGGUGGAUAUUGCAACUGCAUUCUCAAAUGGGAGAAAAAGAUGAACAAGGCAAUGAGCAAACAAUUCCGAGCUGCUAUGGAGGGUUACAACACGGAUUGCAGCGACUACAAGGAAGCGAAACAUUGCAAACGGUUCUGCAAAGCUCUAACACCGGACAAAACGUUCACCGGUCAGUGCAACGUGAACCACUGCCAAUGCGUGACCUACCCGAAGACCCCGGGCAAGAAGAAGAACGCUUGCACGAAAGCCAUCAAGCAGCUGAAGAAGAGCGAAGACAAAGCGCUGUAUGGUCUGGGGAUCAAACCGAAGCCGCUGAGCAGCCUCGGUGCCGACGCCGAGAAGCAGGUCAACGCAAUCGCCGACGAAGCCAUCGAGAAGUUGAAGGCCAGCAACUCCAUGGACGGGUGCACCGAGAAGGACAUACAGGAUCUAAAGUCCAUCAUAUCUAGUCUCUCACAAGGAUUGAACCUGGUCAAAGGGUUAGACUACGCGUCAAUCCUCACUGGCGGGGGAAGCGGCAAAGGCGCCGAGAGUAGUCCUGGGAGUCCCGGUAAAAGUGGUGGAAGUUUCGAGAGGAGUGUUGGAAGUCCCGGCAGAAGUGGUGGAGGUGGAUACGGUGGAAGUGCUGGAGGUGGAUAUGGAGGAAGUGCUGAAGGCGGAUAUGGCGGAAGUGGUGGAGGAGGCGGUGGAUAUGGUGGAAGUUCCAGUAGAAGUGGUGGAGGUGGCGGUGGCGGUGGCGGUGGAUAUGCUGGAAGUCCCAGUAGAGGUGGUGGAGGCGGUGGAAGUCCCCGUAGAGGUGGCGGAGGCGGUGGAUAUGGUGGUGGUGGAGGUUGAGGUGGCAGUUGGCAACAGCAGCUUGUAUGAUCAGGAUUAAAUAUUUUCAUUCAUAUUUGGCAAAUAGUAAACUCUGUCAAUGAUUAAAACAUGUCUUAUGCAUCACCAAACUUCAUUCUGUAUAGUAAUUCUAUGAAGCCAAACUAUUAAUUAUCUCGGAGUGAAGUCCGGCGCGGACUUCACUCCGCACCCUGGUAAAAAUUUUUCAUGGAAUUCCAUGGGAUUCCGUGCAGUUUUCCAUGGAAUUACAUGGUGAAGACACGGAACUCCAUGGAGACUCCAUGGAGAAGGCACGGAACUCCAUGGAGAAGGCACGGAACUCCAUGGAGACUCCAUGGAGGAGACACGGAACUCCAUGGUGACUCCUGGGUUUCCGUGGUGACUACAUGGGAUUCCAUGGUGGCAGCAGGAGAUUCCGUGGUGGCUACAUGGAAUUCCAAGGGAGUGUCACGGAAUAGCAAAGGACAUGCAUUGGAACGCCGUGAAACAUUGGAGACCACCACAAGAAUCAACAUGGUAAUCUGGAGAUCAUUGAUUAUCAGCAACUAUUUGCUGUUUUGUCAUGCAUUAUAGAAUUAAGUUGAACUACUCACCGAAGUUCACUAAUGAAGGCCACUAAAAUGUUUCAUGUCAUCAGUUAUCACAGAAUAAGUCUUGAUUAGUGCACUGAAAUUCCUACAACCAUGGCAUUCCCAAGACAAUGCCCACUAUUUAACAAUUGUACCAGUAGGUAGCAAUUACUUUUCACACAGAGAAAGUUUUCAUUUAAAAUAUGAUUAACUUAGAGAUUUGCUAUGGCUGACAGAGAUGUAAUAAUAAUUUGCUGCUUAUACUCUGUUUAAGACAACUGAAAUAACCGCAAUAGUAUGUCAAAAAACAGAAAACACGCAGCUUCUUCGAACCACGCAUACAACGUAGGUACAGCUUUAAAGUCUGUCAAUUAUAGAUCAUCUAUGUUUUGCAAGAUUAGUUUAGACACUGACUAUUCAAUAGGAUGAUAUUAUGUACAGUGGAAAGCACGAAGAAAGACAGAGACUUUCAAUUUUUUAGAAUUUUCAUUGGGGGAGGGGGACUUGACUGCCGAUGAAGGAAGUGUGUAACAAACUGAUAAGGCAAAGUAGCGCCUGAAAGCAAGUUUUAUCCGAUUGCCUUUACUGAAGCUCACUCAUCAUAUUUCCAAAUCUCCUGUGUGAAGCCAACAUUGAAUUGUAGGAAGAACCGAAUGGCUGUAAUAGGAAAAUCAAGGAGAAUUGAGAUGUAUCUAUCAGAAUUUUUUCAUUCUAUUUCUACGCAUGGCCAAAAUAAAAAUUUGAAGAUUGAUUACCAAGAGUCCAUCGCGAUACACUGCUGGCUUACUUUCAGUUUAAUCAAAAUCUACCAACUUCGAGGUAACAUUACUUUCGUCACGAAGGAGUCUCGAAUUCGAGCUGAAACUAUUUAAAUCAAUUAAAAAAAUUAAAACUUGCAUUAUGUACUGGCAGUAAUAACCAACAACUCAUCUUGUGAUCUUGUGUUUACGAUUUCGAUUUAGCUCCGGCUCCUGUGUUGCAAUCCUGCCCUGUUUCAUGUUGAAAUUUUAUUUUAAAAAAAUGAAAGCAAGAAUAGAACGCAAAAGUUGAAGGUGUGACAUAUGAAACAUUAUUGGCGUUAUGCAUUUCAAUAAUAAAGAGGCAAAUGAGUUUUUAUAGAUCAUGCAGAUUUAAAUAAAAAAUCCUCAAUUCAAUUCGGCAACUCAGGAGAUGUGCCACCCCGCUCUGCCUCGCCCUGCCUAGUCGGUAUGUUGAGGUUAGAUUAUCAACGAGGCGAGAUGUCAGGUUGGAUGUCAGGCGCUGUGAGGCUCUCGCAAACUUUACAGUAAUUCUCAGAUCAGUAUAUAUUUCUUGACUUCCUGCUUUCGCUACAUUACGCCAAAUCCGAGUUGAAUGCAAGGGCCUUGAACUGAAUCUAGGUAAGUCAUGAAUAACAAUGAUUAGCAAUUCCCAUUACUGAGUGUACUUAGGCACCAAUAGGUAGUGAUCCAUCAGCGCUCGGUAACCUCUUUAUAGGUAUAGAAUCAUAGCAUUAUGUACAUUUAUUUCUGCAUUUUGAUAAACUAUUCUAACAUUAUUUGUUGAAUAGUAGAUUCAUAUGGGCUCACCAUUUUCUCUAUCUACUCUUUGGUCACUCCUCCGAGUCAGCACCCCAAACAUGAACCGUGAUCGAAUUUUGGUCACAGUCUCCCUUAUCGUGUUUUCAGCACAUGCUAAACACUCUAACUGCAUUCCAUUCCUAGCUCCUUAUCAGCUCAUUUCAUCGUCCCCCUAAGGGAUAAUAUCAGAUUUCUGUCAAAUCAUAUGAGAUCGCCAUCUCCUAUCGUCUGCCGAAACCCAUAUAGACUGUGUAUAAAAUUCAUGGGUGAGAUCUAGGACUGAA